Molecule: ribosomal RNA, 459 nt
Filed under: uncultured bacterium
Lineage: Bacteria
Description: partial 16S ribosomal RNA
Rfam family: Bacterial small subunit ribosomal RNA
Source: RNAcentral
CCUACGUGAGGCAGCAGUGAGGAAUAUUGGUCAAUGGCCGGAAGGCUGAACCAGCCAAGCCGCGUGAAGGACGAAGGUGCCAAGCAUUGUAAACUUCUUUUGUCAGGGGACAAAAUCAGGCUCGAGAGCCUGAACGAGGGUACUUGAAGAAAAAGCAUCGGCUAACUCCGUGCCAGCAGCCGCGGUAAUCCGGAGGAUGCGGGCGUUAUCCGGAUUUAUUGGGGUAAAAGGGUGCAUAGGCGGACUGUUAAGUCAGCGGUAAAAGCCCGGGGUUAAACCCCGGCGAGCCGUUGAAACUGGCUGUCUUGAGAUGUGGAGAGGUAUGCGGAAUGCGCAGUGUAGCGGUGAAAUGCUUAGAUAUUGCGCAGAACUCCGAUUGCGAAGGCAGCAUACUGGCGGCGAUCUGACGCUGAGGCACGAAAGCGUGGGUAUCGAACAGGAUUAGAUACCCUAGUAGUC